GUGAAUCAAAUGAGGGAGAAACGCUAACGCCCGGUGUGGAUUUAUUGAGAUUUUAAAAAGGCAUCCCUAAGAAAAAUGUUUUGUUUUUAGAUUUGUUUCUGAUUCUUCUGCGGGAUUCCAGUCCAGGUCUUGGAGCCGGCCCUCGAGGGGAAUGUCCGGGACUCGGGUUAACAGGAAGAUCAGGAGGCUGAACUUGGCCUGAUGCUGAACGCCUGAGGGUGAGAAAGGCAGAUAAUUCUAACCAAGUGGGGUGUAAAUGUUACCUUGACCUUGGCUGAUGUAGUCAAAAUGGGCAGUGGGAUGUUUUCUAAAAUUUCUAAGAUUCUUGGAUCUCUUAAAUCAAUUUUUGAAGUUGCCUCAGUUACUGUGAAUUUUCCUUAGGCAUUGUAUGUGAUUUCUUGUGAACUAAGAUAUUUUGGUGGUUUAGUAUGCUUUUAACCAGUUUGAAUUUCCACUGUUUUCUAUGAGAGGAGAACACAUGAAAUGAAUACCUCUGAGGGGGGAAUUCAGCUCUCUGCUGACUGGCAGUUUCAGAGUUAUGUAAUCUUUAACAGACUCCCAGAGAACACCAUGCCCCCUCUGGCUUUGGUGAAACCGCUCAUUAAAGCUAACAUAUGUGGUUUCUGAUUAAAGCACUUCCUGUUCCUUUAAUUUGAGACUGUGAGGUAAAACACUUUCCUUCCAAAGUUAGUAGAUGAACAUAUUUUACUGCUCCUUUGGGGGAGUUAGCAGUAGAGAAUUAACAUAUAUUAAACACUUCUUUGGGGAGUUGACCAGCAAGAUCUCAUUUAGCCUUCAUAGUAGCUUCCGAGGUAGACAUAGUAAGGCUAAUUUCAUAGGUGAGGAAAUUGAGGCUCAGAGGGAUUGAGCAAUUGGUUCAAGAUCCCCUAGGUGGUAAGUGGCAGAGGAUGGAUUUGAAUCUGAGGGGGUUGUCUCUGUAGCUAGUACCUUGCCACCAGGCCACUGGGAUAUUAGCAGAGUGCUGUGGGGAGAGGUCAACCUCUUUCCAGGGCUCUGAUUUCCCCAGGGUCCUUCCCUUUCUCUAGCUCACACCUGGCUACCCCUACUUCCUGUUCAGAUUUAACUGAUAAAGCUUUAACUGAUAGCCACAUAAGCCUUUAUAUUUUACGAGGACCACAGGAAAAUCUUUCAUACCUACAAGAGUAGAGCUAUCUGGUGGAACUGAUGAGAAUGGUUGGGCUAGUGGAUGUGAGGCGCCAUUUUUGGACACAACACUUGAGAUUAAAAAGAAAGGGAAAUCCCACCCUUUGUUACCCUUGCUCCUCACAGGACGUUUCCUUCUGUGCUAGAGAGCUAAGGCUUGAAAGAGCAUUGCUAGUCAAAGCUCUGGUGACCAGCCCACUGCCAUUGCUUCUGAAGAGGAACUGUGGGCACCGCACAAACCCAUUCACCUGCUCUCAACCAUCCCUGCUAAUGCAGAGCUAGUUAAGUACCUGCAUUACCUUGUUUCAGAUGUAGCCCCCAGGAUAGAAAUCUGCAUGUUUUCUAUCUGUUGAUUCUUUAACAAUUUCAUAUGAUCUUUUUCUAGUUUGCAUUUCCUAUAGGCUGUGUAGUAUGAGUGGAGUAAUUAAUCUACUUGGUUAGAAAAUAAAAUGCUCUGAUGAGUUAAGGAAGAAUUUUGAUAGCUGUCUUUUAAAGCAGUUCUUCUCAAACUUUAAUAUGCAUGAGAAUUAUCUGGAGAUCUUGUUGAACUACAGAUUCUGUGUUAGUAGGGCUAAGGCGGAGCUUAUCAUUCUGCAUAUUUAAUAAGUUCCCAUGUGAUAAUAGGCUGGCCCCAGGUCCACACUUUGAGUAGCAAAAUUUUAAGGCUCCUUAAAUUCUAGUUCACAAGAACAAUUAUGGAGCUUUUCUUUAAGAUCUGUAUAUGUCAUUGUACCAUGUAGAAAAGUAAAUUCUGCCAUGGUUAUGUUAAACAGCAGUGGUAGUGCUAUAUUAUUUACAUGAUACCAAAUAUCUGAAUUAAACUUUUCAAAAUUUUGUCAGUCA
Molecule: non-coding RNA, 2007 nt
Organism: Leptonychotes weddellii (Weddell seal)
Lineage: Eukaryota; Metazoa; Chordata; Mammalia; Carnivora; Phocidae
Source: RefSeq, a predicted model, not a curated record